GGCGCGAGGUCUCCAUUUUUUUCAGAUGCUUUAAAGUGCAAAAUUAUUUAAAAAAAUCUUAAGACUGGAUCCUUACAAAAUGUUUCUCAUACUACUAGAUAUUAAAAAUUAUAUUUAUAUUUUUUUAUUAUUUAAUUAUAUUGGAGCUAAUUACUGUAUUCCAGAAAUGAUAAGUCAUCUACAUGAACUUUUGUCCAUCCGGCAG
Molecule: long non-coding RNA, 205 nt
Filed under: Elaeis guineensis (African oil palm)
Lineage: Eukaryota; Viridiplantae; Streptophyta; Magnoliopsida; Arecales; Arecaceae
Description: long non-coding RNA (EGUI_LNC007988)
Source: RNAcentral